CUUUCAUGAUUCUAUGGGUGGUGGUGCGUGGCCGUUCUUAGUUGGUGGAGUGAUUUGUCUGGUUAAUUCCGAUAACGAACGAGACCUUGACCUGCUAAAUAGACGGGUUGACAAUUUGUUGGCCCCUUAUGUCUUCUUAGAGGGACAAUCGACCGUCUAGGUGAUGGAGGCAAAAGGCAAUAACAGGUCUGUGAUGCCCUUAGAUGUUCCGGGCUGCACGCGCGCUACACUGACAGAGACAACGAGUGGUUCCCCUUGUCCGAAAUGACUGGGUAAACUUGUGAAACUUUGUCGUGCUGGGGAUGGAGCUUUGUAAUUUUUGUUCUUCAACGAGGAAUUCCUAGUAAGCGCAAGUCAUCAGCUUGCGUUGACUACGUCCCUGCCCUUUGUACACACCGCCCGUCGCUACUACCGAUUGAAUGGCUUAGUGAGGACUUGGGAGAGUACAUCGGGGAGCCAGCGAUGGCACCCUGACGGCUCAAACUCUUACAAACUUGGUCAUUUAGAGGAAGUAAAAGUCGUAACAAGGUUU
RNAcentral lists this ribosomal RNA (532 nucleotides) under uncultured organism. Its description in RNAcentral is "SSU rRNA". It matches the Rfam family "Eukaryotic small subunit ribosomal RNA", at positions 1257 to 1802 of the family's 1831-position model. The record is from RNAcentral.